Long non-coding RNA from Microcebus murinus (gray mouse lemur), 1508 nucleotides. RefSeq lists it as uncharacterized. The record is from RefSeq and is a predicted model, not a curated record. NCBI's taxonomy places the organism in Eukaryota, Metazoa, Chordata, Mammalia, Primates, Cheirogaleidae.
CUCAGCACUCAGUUGCUUCAGGCAGCCCUGCUCUUCAGAUCAUGGAGACUAUGCAUUUUCUGAACAGCUACACUAGCUACACUGUGUCAUGGCCAAGCUUCGGCUCAACUAUUUUGGAUAUGGGUCCCCAGUUCACAUUUCUGGGUGGAUUGGGGUUACUAUUUCUGCACCUUUGGUACUUGGUGAUGAAAUCUCUUUUGUCAACAGCCUGAGAAAAUAAAGAAGUCCAGAAGCAUCCAGGCAGAGGCAAGAGGAGAAGGAGAGGUACAACACUGAAAGGCAGGAGAAUUUGCCAGAGGAAAACAGAGAAGGAAAGGAAGCUGAUUGCUAUACUGACAAGCCCCCGGGAUGAGGAUCAUGAUACCAUGACCUUUUGUGAGCUGUUAUGUCCAGACUCUUUCUGCGAUGUGUGCAACAAGACGGCUGCUGAGUUCAUGAAAGUGCUAUUCCAGAAGUCCCUGGAGGAUGCUGCACCGUCUGUGUCACUGUUGGCUUCCCCAGUUUCUGAGACACAUUCACCAUCCACUUUGCCCUCCACCCUCUCAGAAUGCCCUCCAGGAAAAGUAAUACCAGCCCCUCUGCCUGAGCCUUCUCCACCUCCCACCUCCAUUCCUCACCUGACCUGAUGCCUCCCUUACCUGAAUUCCUUUCCCUGUGCCACUGGAUGACCCUCUGCUGCCAGAGCCUGUUCCUCCCUUAGAUUUCAAAUUACCAGUGGAUGAUGCCCCAUCCCAGCUACUUGCUUUCCGCCCUCCUCCACCUCAUCACAGAGUUAGAUCCCAGACUCUUAUCUGAAGACCUCUUUGGGUCUGUCCCUGAUCCUUCCUCACACCCUUCUUUAGUGGUAGCAUUUCUGAGCAUCUCUCAUGGAAGCUUCCAGAUUAACUCAAUCCAAAAUUCCCCGGAUCAUUGCUGCUCUGAACUCUAAAGAGAGAGAUCCAUGAGAGUCCAUAAUGGCAUUUUGACUUGGAUGUCUCAGGAAUAUCUCUCAGAGGAUUCAGCAGUGACACAGACUCAUGGACCCUGUGGGGCAGGCCCCGCCGGUAUUGGAUGAGCCUCUUUUGAAGGUGGUGCUCUAGUUUCUUCCAAAGCUCACUGCUGAGAGGAAAAUCUCCAGGAUAGAGAUGGGAACAUAAACCUUGGAGGACUGGCCUGUUCUCCAACGAGAGCCCACUUUUUCUAUAAAGACCAUCUUUGUAUUUGACCUCAUACUUCUCCAAGAUAUUGACCCUUCACCAGAUGUAUCCCAGGUGAUGGGUCCCAUUGAUUCUCAUGCAAAAUUCUCCCUGUGUCAGCCUCAUGCCAGGGACUUGUUCCCCUCCAGCUCAUCACAAUAUGAUCUCAAACCAGAGCUUCUUGCCCCUGAUCCUUCUAAGGCCUCUUUUGAGGGAAACCCUGCAGCCAACCUCGUAGAGCCUAAUGACUUCCCUUUAUUCAAGCCUGAAGUUCUAGAACUCUUGGAGAGGCAAGUUAAAAAGAGGAGAGAUUUUCACUUGUAGAAGGAAAAA